RNAcentral lists this long non-coding RNA (612 nucleotides) under Malus domestica (apple). RNAcentral describes it as "long non-coding RNA (MDOM_LNC013191)". Lineage: Eukaryota; Viridiplantae; Streptophyta; Magnoliopsida; Rosales; Rosaceae. The record is from RNAcentral.
GUGACUUUUGGAACCCCUAUGUACCCUAGUUUGGUUAGAUGUUAUUUCCCUAAAGUUUGAAUGGUUUUGGGAUGUUUUUGGGUGAAAAAAGUUCAUGGAAAAAUUUUGGGUUUUUCAUGAAUGUUCUUCAUUGUUCUUGACAUUUUUGCCAAGAACAAAAAGUUUGGUGUUUUGAUUCAAAGUUUUGAUUAAUUUCAUAAAGUCUUUGUUUUGUGUUGAUUGGUGUGAAAUAUCUAUCAUCAAAACAUUUAUAUUUUUGACAGGUGAUAGAAAUUGUGAUGGGUGUGUAAGACCUACACACCUUACACACCUUACACACCACAUGCAUGGUUUUAUGAUUUACACCAACCAAAAACCACUUGCAAGGCAUUAUGAAAUUGUUGAAAAAAAUUUCCAAAUUUUUGUGGACUUAUCUCCACUCCCUUUCCCUCUCUAAAAACCGGCCACCCUAUUAUUAGGGUUCUUUUGGGUCUUUUAUGAUAUUACAUAAAGUUUUGAUACUUUUGUGUAUUUGCACUUUGGCCCAAAAGUUUACGUUUUUACGUUUAGGUCCAAAAACGCUAAAUGACAAAUUGUUUUGCUCCUUUAAUGAAGUUUUUGCAUUGAUUAAAU